UCUCAGGUGGCUCACUGGUAAAGAACCUGCCUCCAGUGCAGGAGACACAGGUUCAAUCCCUGAGUUGGGAA
RNAcentral lists this transfer RNA (71 nucleotides) under Capra hircus (goat). It matches the Rfam family "tRNA". Rfam says of the family: Transfer RNA (tRNA) molecules are approximately 80 nucleotides in length. Lineage: Eukaryota; Metazoa; Chordata; Mammalia; Artiodactyla; Bovidae. RNAcentral also lists the same sequence under 1 other name. The record is from Rfam by way of RNAcentral.